Long non-coding RNA from Nicotiana attenuata, 522 nucleotides. RefSeq lists it as uncharacterized. NCBI's taxonomy places the organism in Eukaryota, Viridiplantae, Streptophyta, Magnoliopsida, Solanales, Solanaceae. The transcript is spliced from 3 exons. The record is from RefSeq and is a predicted model, not a curated record.
GAAAGUAAACUUAAAAAAAACCUCCAAAAAUAUAUUUUUACUGUGAAAUCCCGCUAGAAAUUCACUUUCACCCUAAAAUAUCUCCCAAAAAAUCACUUUCACACUACAAUCCCUAAUUAAGCGGCAACUUUAAUUCUCUUCAAAGUUCACAAAGGUUGCAAAAUUCAUCAGUCAUAACUCAGAAGCUUGCAAAAUUCAUCACUCCAAACUUUGGCGUCAAAUUUCGAUCUCUCUCCAAGGGACUUUACCCAAAAUCUACUAUUGGAUUAUCUGCCUAAUCAAGAGACUUUACAAAGCAGAAAACAUGCACUAGACCCGCUCAUCAUGCUAGGUCAACAACUGAUACCAAGUUUUGGAUAUUGAGGUUUACAAGAAGAGGAUUUUCGACAUACAGAUUGACCAUCUUUUUGCUGGAAAUGUCAAAAAAAAAAUUACAUUAUAAUCGAGGGAUAUUAGUGAUAUGUAGUUUUUUUGCUAAAGGUUUAUGAACACAAUAUUAUGACUAGCUUACAUCAUUGAUGU